This is a non-coding RNA of Cavia porcellus (domestic guinea pig), 1224 nucleotides long. The record is from the annotation of a RefSeq genome assembly. Lineage: Eukaryota; Metazoa; Chordata; Mammalia; Rodentia; Caviidae.
GUGAUUAGAAAAUAAUAUGCAUGGUUUUACAACAUUAUCUGUCUGAUUACAAGGUAAAGCAUUUCCACACUACGACUCACAUGCUAGCUGGAACAGAGCUACAUUUCAUUAUGUUAAUGCGCAGGAAAGAUAGGUGAGAGCCUAUUAAAAUUUGGGUAUAUAAGAGGCAUGUUUCCUGUGAUGGUGGCUUUGAGAAUUCCAGGAAUAUGAGAGCAAAGCAACUGCUAACUCAGAACGGAUGAACGCAUCUCCUAUUUUCAAUGCCAUGGAUCUAGUUGCAAUUCAGAAUGUGGGGGUUCCAAGACAAAAGUUCUGAUGGAGACAUUUCCCCCAAGCCCACAAUUUUUCUUCCUUCAGUUGCUGAAAGAAAUCGCGAUAAGGCUGGGACAUAUCUUUGUCUUCUGGAGAAUUUUUUCCCUGAUGUUAUUAAGGUAUAUUGGAAAGAGAAGGAUGGGAAUACAAUCCUUAAAUCCCAGGAGGGAGACACCAUGAAGACUAAUGACACCUACACAAAACUUAGCUGGCUAACAGUGACGGGAGUCUCCAUGGAUGAAGAGCACAAAUGUAUUGUCAAACAUGAGAAAAAUCAAGGAAGAGUUGAUCAAGAGAUUCUCUUUCCUCCAGUAAACCAAAUUAGGAGUACUUCUAAACCUGAAGCUUGCAUGAAUGAUGAAAAUGGUUUGCUGGACCUGCAGGUCACCAGCACCUCUGCCUACUACACCUACCUCCUGCUGCUCCUCAAGAGUGCCGUCCACGGGGCCCUCAACACCUACUGUCUGUGCAGAAGGUACCCUGACUUCUGUUAUGGAAAGAGCACCUGACAGAUGGAGACACACAGGACCACAGUGUCUCCACCAUUCCUGUCCCCAGAAGCGUCUACUGAGGGUCUGCAGCAUUUGAUGGGCUCAGCUUUUAAAAGCUGUGUACACACUGUCAGUAUGACAUAAGGAUUUCUCAACCGGUGGGCAAACUGCAUGGCUUUCUCUGUCACAAAGCACAGCUCAUGGCACCUUGAGCCCCAUUCUAUGGUCCCCACACCAACUCCAACCAGCCAGGUUCUCAGGGCCUUGAUGUGCACAGCUUGCUGCUGCUCAUGAGGACUUCAGUGUCUGUGGACGGUAUCAUCCUCUGGGAGCCUCCACUCCACCCAUCUGACAUAGCCUCUGUGCUAUAGCUCUGCUUUGUUCAUAGAGGACACAAUAAAUAAAAACUAUCCAAAAGCUU